This 64-nucleotide transfer RNA is filed under the name Numidum massiliense. It matches the Rfam family "tRNA", at positions 5 to 66 of the family's 71-position model. Rfam says of the family: Transfer RNA (tRNA) molecules are approximately 80 nucleotides in length. Their secondary structure includes four short double-helical elements and three loops (D, anti-codon, and T loops). The record is from RNAcentral. Lineage: Bacteria; Bacillati; Bacillota; Bacilli; Caryophanales; Bacillaceae.
GGAGUAGCCAAGCGGUAAGGCAACGGACUUUGACUCCGUCAUGCGCAGGUUCGAUCCCUGCCUC